This is a long non-coding RNA of Hydractinia symbiolongicarpus, 4008 nucleotides long. RefSeq lists it as uncharacterized. NCBI's taxonomy places the organism in Eukaryota, Metazoa, Cnidaria, Hydrozoa, Anthoathecata, Hydractiniidae. The transcript is spliced from 2 exons. The record is from RefSeq and is a predicted model, not a curated record.
AAAAAGAAAUGUUGUUCAUGUAAAAUAUAGCUGCAUAAGCUAAUUUCUAUUUAAUUAAAUUUCCAACAUUUAAAUUAUAUAUUCAGAUUUAAUUUUUUUUUUCUUUCAUAUAAAGAAAUUCUCCUUGUAUUCUAUACUACUUAAAAAAUAUUACCAGUCAGCGAAAGUAUGAAAAUCAAAAGAUCAAAAUUAUGAGGAAAUGUGACACAGUUCCUGACAAUUGAAGACGAUUUAAUGACGGCUGUUUCUGAAUUUGUACAUUAAGCAGACAGGAGUUCUAGGGUUAAAUGAGUUAGCUGUUGUAAACCCUUGGGGUCAAUGGUACAGAUUAUUACGGUCAAUAUAACUUAAUCUCGCGUCGUUAGUUAAACAGAAAAUGGAACUUUUUGUGUACGAAUAAAUCACAACUUUCACUAUAGCAACCAACUUUAAAUUCAUAUUUAUAUAUGAAUGAAUAUAUCUCAUCGGUAUGUUACGUCUAACACAACAACUUCAGCACCAGUCCUCAAUGUACACUAGAUAAGUUGAAUUUAGCAAGUCGUUAAGUGAGAAUACUUCCACUGGGAUGUGCGAACAAAAAACAUGAUCAAAAUCAUGAUUAUGCAAUGAAUUUGACAAAAUUUCGUCAUUUUGCAGAAAUUACACGUCUGUGUGUUGUAAAAAGUUUUUUUUAGAGAUUUAUUCGUUUGUAACUAUCCAUGUGACUACACACUCGUUAAUCUUUACAGUGCAAAGAAUUAGGAAAAUCCAAAGGCUUUCAUGCAGUUAAAUGUUCUUAUUCCAUAAAAUAACAAAUUGAGAAAGAUGGCACCUACUCGAUAAAAACCUUAAAAAGCACUGGGAAGGAGUUUUCAAAGGAAAAUUAACGCUAUGUUACCCUAUUCCACGGGUGUAUGAAGCAAGUUGUAAAUAGUCGGGCUGACUGAUACAUGUUAAAAACUAGCAAGCACAUGUAACAUACACAAAUCGGAAGAAUCGAAAGUCGAUUUUUUCUAUAAAUUCAUUGAAACACGCACGCUCGAUGUUGUCUACAAGUGCUAAUGAAAUAUUUGUAACCUUCAUGUUGUUACAGGUGUAUAAACACGGGGGUUGAUCAAUCCGAUGACGUCACAAUAGACAUAUAAUCAGCUGAGUUGAUGUUGCUAAGAUACAUGAAAUAUGGAGAGAAGUAUUAGCUGAAGUUAAACUACGCAAUGCUAAUAUCAGAUUUGAAAUAUUCGAUAUAUUAUAUAAAUCUAAAAUGGUUAUAUAAUGUUCAGUAAAGGAGUUAUACACUAAUUAAAAUAGUGGCCAUAAAUAGUUUGAUGUAAAAAUAACUGAUUGUAUUUUCCGUGUUUUAUUCCUGACGGAUGUACAAACGGAAUAUAUUAAAUCUAAGUUUGACAUGGUAUACUAUGGAACGCCAAGGCUGCCUUAUUCGAUGAUUUCAUUCGGUCAUAAAACACUAUUUGUCGCUAAUUGUAUUCGAUUUUGUUAAAAUUCAUUCGAUUUUGUAAAAAUUCAUUCGAUUAUGCGCUAAAUUCAUUCGAUUAUGCGCUAAGUUCAUUCGAUUAUGCGCUGAAUUCAUUCGAUUAUGCGAUGAAUUCAUUCGAUUAUGCGAUGAAUUCAUUCGAUUAUGCGAUGAAUUCAUUCGAUUAUGCGCUGUUUGCAUGUGAUAAAUUAUUCGAUGCGCUGAAUUCAUGCGCUAAAUUAUUCGAUGCGCUGUUUGCAUGCGCUAAAUUAUUCGAUGCGCUGUUUGCAUGCGCUAAAUUAUUCGAUGCGCUGUUUGCAUGCGCUAAAUUAUUCGAUGCGCUGAAUUCAUGCGCUAAAUUAUUCGAUGCGCUGUUUGCAUGCGAUAAAUUAUUCGAUGCGCUGAAUUCAUGCGCUAAAUUAUUCGAUGCGCUGUUUGCAUGCGAUAAAUUAUUCGAUAGUUUUGGCGCCUCAAUCAAAAUUAAAAUUAAAAAAUGGUAACCUCUGAAUUUCUUAGAAAAUUAACAAUUUCGCGGGAACACUUUACCAUAGUGUUACGAUUAAGCGUCAGUCUAAUCUUGCAAAGUACAUCGAAAAUUUCUGAAGAAACUACGGAACAUUUAUUCUCCUAUAAUAUAAGAAAAUGAAUACAAACGAUAAGAGCUAAAAUAUAAAAAAUAUUCUCUCUGAAUAAAACAAAAAUUAAGUGUCCCUUUGGAAAGGGACACCGUAAACAAAACGAAGUUUACAAGUAAACAACUACCAAUUAUAAAAUAAGUUUUGAAUCAGUGAAAAGGUAACGAAAGAAAGCAUAAAUGUUUGCAUUUAAUCACAAGAGUUAAGUUCCUAAUAGGCAUAAAUAAUAAAACUGUCGACGACUUUUAAAUUUGUCCAAAAAAUCGACUAGAAAAGGCUAAGUCAUAUAAACCGAACAGAGCGUUUUCGUCUGGAAGGGAAAUAGCAUUACUUUCCAUUGGUAAUUGCAAUUGAUUAAUGCAAGUGUUACUUGUCGGAAGAAAUCGACCUUCUUCCAUCACCGGAACAAAUUUUAUCGAAGGGGCCAGUGCAAAUCCUAACAAAGGCUCUUCUUCACUUCCAGUGACAAACCUUAGUACAUCGGGAAGCGAAACACCCGAACGUUUUCCACCUAAACAGUAACAAAAAUAGAAAGUUUAUAUAUAGAUAUUUCUUCCGCACAUAAUUUCUUCCCUUAAGGUAGCAGAAGCCAGCUUCCUUUGUGAAACUCUGCUCAUACAAAAUAAAAAAUGUUUGGCUAUUUAGUUUAUAGAAAAGCGGAGCGAGCGCGUGGAAAUUUAAAUUUGACACUUACCAUGUGCUUGCCUCAAAUAUUUCAUUAAUGACGGAUAAAGCUUUUUCUGCCUGUAAUGUUCGUUUGACCCUUCAGCUGCCCAUUUUGGCUGAAGCAAGUUGACCAGUUUUUUAAAAGUGAAAGUAGCAUUAGGAUUGGGUCGGAAAAGGUGUAGCAUGAUAGGAAAGGCUUCCACAAUCUGAAAGCAAUGAUAACUAAUUAUAAUGAUAAAUAAACUCAUUGAGUGUAGAUGUAAAUACAAUGCUCAACAGAUCUUUUCCUUAUGUAUUUACUUACCGUAUUUCCUCUAUUAACGCCCCCUCUAAUAAACCUUAAAAUGCUGAAUUUAGGUAUUAGAAAACAGACGGAUAAGAGGAAAUACGGUAUGUUAAGAGAAAGCUUUAUGAGAAAAAGCUUCUUUUAGAGAAACAUCCAAAAAUAUAUAAUACAAACUUGGAAAAUUCCAAGAUCCUUGAAAGCUCUUCGGAGUUCAUUGAAUUUGCCAGGUUCUUCGUUAAAAAAUAUUUUUUGCAGGUCAUCUUCUUCCAAAAACUGUGGAAAUGGGCCAUUCUGAAGCAAACUCAAGCCUAAAAAAAUAAGAAUAAACACUCAUUUUCAUAGAAUAUUUAUCUUUUUAGAUUUUUUUUUAGUUUUUAAGAAGCUCACAACAACAAGAAAUGUUUUUGUGUUCCUUUUUUCAAUUUCUCACAGUGGUAUAACGCUGAGUGUAAUUACGUACCAAAAACUAUUCCAAUAUCAUAAUAAUCACUUAAAGGAAACAAGUUUAUUUCACAAUCAAAGUAUUUUUCUUUGAUUUCUCUUAUUAUCUGUUGAAAAAACUCUUUUCUUGGCCCUCCAUAAUCUUCUGCCAACUAAAAAUAUAAUAAUAUAAAUGAUAAAUAAUAUAAUAUAAUGAUUACACAAACAUGUCUGGUAAAAUAAACAAAUUAACUGAUGAACAAAAAAACAAUCUUAAUAUUAAACAUGAAGAUAAAAAUAAUACUCUUUCCUACCUCACCAUAAAACUGCACAGAUAAACAAAUCAACUUAUUUUGCAGUUCCCGUAUCUCUUCUAAACCAGUUUCAAUAAGAUUGGCCCGAUCAACCAUGAUAAAAUUUGUUGGUCUGUCAUCAUGAACCGCAAUAUCAGUUAUUUCUAAACUUCGACCUUGAACUAACUUCUGCUGCAUAUACCGUAAUAUCUCGACUGGUGAAUUCACUUGAUUAUCAAUGCAAUAACUGAUGAUGUU